AUGAAAUCUCUGCUGCUUUUCCUUUCCCUCUUCUCCACCCUGGCCUGUGUCCUCUCCCAGGUGCAGCUGGUCCAGUCCGGCCAGGGCGUGGUGAAGCCCGGAGAGACCCUCACCCUGACCUGCGCUGUCUCCGGCUUCUCUAUCUCUACUCAGCAUUACGGCUGGCACUGGCUCCGGCAGCCCCCCGGGAAAGGGCUGGAGUGGAUGGGACGGGUAUAUCCGUAUAGUAGCGGGACCACAAACUACGCCCCGUCUCUGCAAGGCCGAAUCACCAUCGCCGCAGACACCGCCAAGAACCAGUUCUCGCUGCAGCUCCGCUCGCUGACAGCUGCAGACACCGGCACCUAUUACUGCGCCAGAGAGACACAGUGACACAGAGCAGAGCGGGACUGGCACAAAAAGGGGAAGCGGUUUCCCAGCAGCCCAGGGGGAC
Non-coding RNA from Mauremys mutica (yellowpond turtle), 433 nucleotides. The record is from the annotation of a RefSeq genome assembly. NCBI's taxonomy places the organism in Eukaryota, Metazoa, Chordata, Testudines, Geoemydidae.